RNAcentral lists this ribosomal RNA (467 nucleotides) under uncultured Magnetospirillum sp. Its description in RNAcentral is "bacterial SSU rRNA". It matches the Rfam family "Bacterial small subunit ribosomal RNA", at positions 85 to 587 of the family's 1533-position model. The record is from RNAcentral. Lineage: Bacteria; Pseudomonadati; Pseudomonadota; Alphaproteobacteria; Rhodospirillales; Rhodospirillaceae.
UUCGGCCAUAGUGGCGCACGGGUGAGUAACGCGUGGGAACCUGCCCAGCAGUGGGGAAUAACUUCGGGAAACCGGGGCUAAUACCGCAUACGCCCUUAGGGGGAAAGAUUUAUCGCUGUUGGAGGGGCCCGCGUCCGAUUAGUUUGUUGGCGGGGUAAUGGCUUACCAAGACUACGAUCGGUAGCUGGUCUGAGAGGAUGAUCAGCCACACUGGGACUGAGACACGGCCCAGACUCCUACGGGAGGCAGCAGUGGGGAAUAUUGGACAAUGGGCGCAAGCCUGAUCCAGCAAUGCCGCGUGAGUGAUGAAGGCCUUAGGGUUGUAAAGCUCUUUCGGCGGGGACGAUGAUGACGGUACCCGCAGAAGAAGCCCCGGCUAACUUCGUGCCAGCAGCCGCGGUAAUACGAAGGGGGCUAGCGUUGUUCGGAAUUACUGGGCGUAAAGAGCACGUAGGCGGUUCGUUAAA